This is a long non-coding RNA of Prinia subflava (tawny-flanked prinia), 1110 nucleotides long. RefSeq lists it as uncharacterized. The transcript has 2 exons. Lineage: Eukaryota; Metazoa; Chordata; Aves; Passeriformes; Cisticolidae. The record is from RefSeq and is a predicted model, not a curated record.
UGCCAUGGGAACAGCGCGGCCGCCUCAUGGCGGGGACGCGGGCCCUCCUCAGCCCCUGGAUCCGAACGGGGCUGGGAGGGAGCUCUGGGGAUCAUCCAGUCCCACCGGCGGCUGGGAGACUCCACCGCCUCCCGGGCAGCUGUUCAGGUCUCUGCCACCCUCAGUGUAAAGAAGUUCCUGCCCGUGUUGAGCUGUAGUCACGUUUGUUAGCCUUUGCCCCGGGGGAGGGGAACCGAAGUUUCUUCUCAAAGCAUUGUUCCAUUGAGGCCUGAUGAGUUCAGCAUCUGAGCAGGCUGAGAGCAGCACAAGAGAUACACGAGAGAUAACAGCCGUCAUUGGCGAGCCAUCAGCAAACAAUGAACACCUACUCCAGACCUGCCCCUGGCACGGCUGGAGACACCUGGCCUGGGAAAGGCUGAUAAAGAAAUCCCGGGAAAGGCUGAUAAGGAAAUCCCGGGAAAAGCUGAUAAGGAAAUCCCGGGAAAGGCUGAUAAGGAAAUCCCGGGAAAGGCUGAUAAGGAAAUCCGGGAGUGAAGACCUAAUUAACAUCAGAGCUGAAGAAAUCCCUGUCCAGUAGGAAACCAAAUACCAAGAACUGUGCAACUCGGGACCAAUGAACAUUAAACUGAUGGAUUCCUAUGGGUUUUGAAUGUAUAAUGUUUGAGAAAAAUCUAGUAAUUUGAGAAGAAUCAUAGAGCGUGGGCCCCUGCGGCUGAAGGGCAGUGGGGGUGCCCUGGGGGCCGGCAAGAGGAAGAGGAAGGUGAAGGACAAGGCCCAGAUGUGGAGCAGAUCAGGAGCAUCGAGAAGCAGCUGCAGGAGAAACACGUGCUGGACGAGCAGACCUAGCACAGGUGGCCUUCGAGAAGAUGCAGGAGAAGCAGCAAGUGGAGCAGGUCCUGAAGAAAGUGCCCAAAACUCAGGAGCAGCGAGUGGAGGAGUUCAGCAGGCUCUAACUGAGCACUGUGACAUUCUCAAAGUCAGCUGGACUAAAGCACCAGGCUGCUUGUCAGGGCUCUGGAGCUGGAGCUGGUUUGUUUGUGUCAAGCAGGGUUGCCCUGUACAUCUGUCCUCCAUAUUCUCAAAUAUAACUUCUGAGCUUUUAUGACUUUA